UACGGAGGGGGCUAGCGUUGUUCGGAAUUACUGGGCGUAAAGCGCACGUAGGCGGCUUUGCAAGUCAGAGGUGAAAGCCCGGGGCUCAACCCCGGAAUUGCCUUUGAGACUGCAUCGCUAGAAUUGUGGAGAGGUUGGUGGAAUUCUCGGUGUAGAGGUGAAAUUCGUAGAUAUCGAGAGGAACACCGGUGGCGAAGGCGGUUCUCUGGGCAUGUCCUGACGCUGAGGAGCGAAGGUGUGGGGAGCGAACAGG
RNAcentral lists this ribosomal RNA (253 nucleotides) under uncultured bacterium. RNAcentral describes it as "partial 16S ribosomal RNA". It matches the Rfam family "Bacterial small subunit ribosomal RNA", at positions 524 to 776 of the family's 1533-position model. The record is from RNAcentral.